AUGUGUGUUCAGAUCUCUAAUGAUCUUUUUGAAAUUCAGAUUCUCAUUCAGUGGGACUAUGUAUGGCAUGAGAUUCUACAUUUUUAAUGAGUUCCUAAAUGACGCUGAU
This 109-nucleotide microRNA precursor is filed under the name Marmota monax (woodchuck). The record is from RNAcentral. Lineage: Eukaryota; Metazoa; Chordata; Mammalia; Rodentia; Sciuridae.